RNAcentral lists this ribosomal RNA (444 nucleotides) under uncultured bacterium. RNAcentral's name for it is "bacterial SSU rRNA". It matches the Rfam family "Bacterial small subunit ribosomal RNA", at positions 354 to 796 of the family's 1533-position model. The record is from RNAcentral.
GUGAGGAAUAUUGGUCAAUGGGCGCGAGCCUGAACCAGCCAAGUAGCGUGGGGGAUGACUGCCCUAUGGGUUGUAAACCCCUUUUGCGCGGGGAUAAACCGGCGGACGCGUCCGCCGCUGCAGGUACCGCGCGAAUAAGGACCGGCUAAUUCCGUGCCAGCAGCCGCGGUAAUACGGAAGGUCCGGGCGUUAUCCGGAUUUAUUGGGUUUAAAGGGAGCGUAGGCGGGAGGCUAAGCGUGCUGUGAAAUCCGGCGGCUCAACCGUCGCGAGCAGCGCGAACUGGCUUUCUUGAGUGCGCGGGAGGCAGGCGGAAUUCGUGGUGUAGCGGUGAAAUGCUUAGAUAUCACGAAGAACCCCGAUUGCGAAGGCAGCCUGCCGUAGCGUUACUGACGCUGAAGCUCGAAGGUGCGGGUAUCGAACAGGAUUAGAAACCCUAGUAGUCC